This 260-nucleotide ribosomal RNA is filed under the name uncultured bacterium. RNAcentral describes it as "partial 16S ribosomal RNA". It matches the Rfam family "Bacterial small subunit ribosomal RNA", at positions 336 to 588 of the family's 1533-position model. The record is from RNAcentral.
UUCCUACGGGGGGCAGCAGUAGGGAAUCUUCCACAAUGGACGAAAGUCUGAUGGAGCAACGCCGCGUGAGUGAAGAAAGGUUUCGGCUCGUAAAGCUCUGUUGGUAGUGAAGAAAGAUAGAGGUAGUAACUGGCCUUUAUUUGACGGUAAUUACUUAGAAAGUCACGGCUAACUACGUGCCAGCAGCCGCGGUAAUACGUAGGUGGCAAGCGUUGUCCGGAUUUACUGGGUGUAAAGGGAGCGCAGGCGGGGAGCCCAAG